GUCCACGCCGUAAACGUUGGGCGCUAGGUGUGGGUCCCAUUCCACGGGGUCUGUGCCGCAGCUAACGCAUUAAGCGCCCCGCCUGGGGAGUACGGCCGCAAGGCUAAAACUCAAAGGAAUUGACGGGGCCCCGCACAAGCGGCGGAGCAUGCGGAUUAAUUCGAUGCAACGCGAAGAACCUUACCAAGGCUUGACAUGCACGGUAAUCCUCCAGAGAUGGGGGGUCCGCAAGGGAUCGUGCACAGGUGGUGCAUGGUUGUCGU
RNAcentral lists this ribosomal RNA (263 nucleotides) under uncultured bacterium. Its description in RNAcentral is "partial 16S ribosomal RNA". It matches the Rfam family "Bacterial small subunit ribosomal RNA", at positions 793 to 1055 of the family's 1533-position model. The record is from RNAcentral.